This 253-nucleotide ribosomal RNA is filed under the name uncultured bacterium. RNAcentral describes it as "partial 16S ribosomal RNA". It matches the Rfam family "Bacterial small subunit ribosomal RNA", at positions 524 to 776 of the family's 1533-position model. The record is from RNAcentral.
UACGAAGGCUUCAAGCGUUAUCCGGACUUAUUGGGCGUAAAGAGUGCGUAGGAGGAUUUUUAAGUUUGGUGUUAAAUCUCGGGGCUCAACUUCGAGGCCGCAUUAAAUACUGAAAAUCUAGAGUGUGUGAGAGGUUACUAGAACGCAUGGUGUAGGGGUGACAUCCGUUGAUAUCAUGCGGAAUACCAAAGGCGAAGGCAUGUAACUGGCACAUUACUGACUCUGAUGCACGAAAGCGUGGGGAGCAAAAAGG